GGACGAACGCUGGCGGUGUGCUUAACACAUGCAAGUCGAGCGGUGAACCACCUUCGGGUGGGGAUCAGCGGCGAACGGGUGAGUAACACGUGGGCAACCUGCCCCGAGCACUGGGAUAACAGUGGGAAACCGCUGCUAAUACCGGAUAUGACUACCGACCGCGAUGGUCUGGUGGUGGGAAAGGAUUCCGGCUCGGGAUGGGCCCGCGGCCUAUCAGCUAGUUGGUGGGGUAAUGGCCUACCAAGGCGACGACGGGUAGCCGGCCUGAGAGGGCGACCGGCCACACUGGGACUGAGACACGGCCCAGACUCCUACGGGAGGCAGCAGUGGGGAAUAUUGGCGCAAUGGGCGAAAGCCUGACGCAGCAACACCGCGUGAGGGACGACGGCCUUCGGGUUGUAAACCUCUUUCAGCUCCGACGAAGCGAAAGUGACGGUAGGAGCAGAAGAAGCACCGGCUAACUACGUGCCAGCAGCCGCGGUAAUACGUAGGGUGCAAGCGUUGUCCGGAAUUAUUGGGCGUAAAGAGCUCGUAGGCGGUCCGUUGCGUCU
Molecule: ribosomal RNA, 551 nt
Filed under: Gram-positive bacterium SOGA15
Lineage: Bacteria
Also listed under: 1 other name
Description: bacterial SSU rRNA
Rfam family: Bacterial small subunit ribosomal RNA
Source: RNAcentral